UAGCUUGCUAAUAAUUCUCUAGUGGCGCACGGGUGAGUAACACGUGAGUAACCUGCCCCCAAGAGUGGGAUAGCCCCGGGAAACUGGGAUUAAUACCGCAUAAAAUCGCAAGAUUAAAGCAGCAAUGCGCUUGGGGAUGGGCUCGCGUCCUAUUAGUUAGUUGGUGAGGUAACGGCUCACCAAGGCGAUGACGGGUAGCCGGUCUGAGAGGAUGUCCGGCCACACUGGAACUGAGACACGGUCCAGACACCUACGGGUGGCAGCAGUCGAGAAUCAUUCACAAUGGGGGAAACCCUGAUGGUGCGACGCCGCGUGGGGGAAUGAAGGUCUUCGGAUUGUAAACCCCUGUCAUGUGGGAGCAAAUUAAAAAGAUAGUACCACAAGAGGAAGAGACGGCUAACUCUGUGCCAGCAGCCGCGGUAAUACAGAGGUCUCAAGCGUUGUUCGGAAUCACUGGGCGUAAAGCGUGCGUAGGCGGUUUCGUAAGUCGUGUGUGAAAGGCGGGGGCUCAACCCCCGGACUGCACAUGAUACUGCGAGACUAGAGUAAUGGAGGGGGAACCGGAAUUCUCGGUGUAGCAGUGAAAUGCGUAGAUAUCGAGAGGAGCACUCGUGGCGAAGGCGGGUUCCUGGACAUUAACUGACGCUGAGGCACGAAGGCCAGGGGAGCGAAAGGGAUUAGAUACCCCUGUAGUCCUGGC
This 700-nucleotide ribosomal RNA is filed under the name uncultured bacterium. Its description in RNAcentral is "bacterial SSU rRNA". It matches the Rfam family "Bacterial small subunit ribosomal RNA", at positions 76 to 800 of the family's 1533-position model. The record is from RNAcentral.